AAAUUAUUUUGAAAGGCCUAAUUGAAAUAAAUCGCCUGAAGCCCCAAAAUUGGUUGAGCUGCCUUUGUGGGACAUAUUAAUCGACACAGAGAGUUAUCGUCCUUUCUUCGUCCUUUCUUGGAAAAGAAGCUCAUUGAAAUUUGCAUUUACUGUUACAUUUACUGUUGGAAAAUGAUGCUGACAUUAAGUUUUGGGGUUAAAACGACUCUCAUACCAUUGAUUGAGAGACUAAUAUUAUGUGCAUGCAUUUGUGUGUCUUCCUUGUUUUUCAUAUUAUCAUAUACCAAGCAUCAUGGUUAAGAGACUGAUCUUAUCUAAAUAUAUCACGUAAAAAGAAGAUAUUGUAAUUUUUAAAUUACAAUUGUUUUAGAGAGAAAACUUUAGUUGUGAAAUAAACAUAUGAUAGUAUGUGAUAUGAUUUCUAACAAAAUAGUAAACAUAUUAUAGUUUUUUUUUCAAUAUAUUAGUGUGCUAUAAAAGUAACUUAUCUUAUAAAUCAUAACAGUAGAUAUUUAAUUAAAUGUUUCACUACUAUAACUUUUAAACUAUAGUCAUCUAAUCACAAUAUUAAAUAGGAUUAUAGUCUUUAAAUUCAAAUUUCUCUGAAAAAAAGAAAAAAAGAGUAUCAUUUAUGUUCAAUAAUCUCUUGUGUGGUGGUAAUAUAUUUGAACUACAUGGUUUCAAUGUAUUAAGGUCUUGUUUGGGAUUGAGGUACUAUAACUUUUAAGUUACAGCUGUUGUGGAAAAAAAAACUAUAACUAUCAAACAAAAGUUAAUAAUAUAUAGUAAAUAUAAAUUUUAAAUAAUAAUUUUGAUAAGUUAUUAAAUAUAUAAUAGAUUUUUCAUUAUACAAGUGAAAAAUCAUAUCAACAUAACUUAUAAGUUACAACAGCUAGUAUUUAUCAAAUACUUUAGUGUUGUACCUUUUAAACUACAGUUGUCCAACUUUAAUUCCAAACACACCCUAAAAUAUGUCCAGCCAUGUGAAUUUACAACUUUUGCAAAUUCCCUUUGAUUGAAUGGUGCAUCGCAAUUCCCUUGGACUUAGAACUAAUAAAUUUUCAAUCGCCAUACCACUUGAUCCGUUCACACCCUUAAUUCUACACCGCUACACGAAUGCUGUACGUAUGCAUGAAAAAACAAAAGCAAACAAAAGAGACUUUGUAUCAUAUGUCUCAAAAAUAAAAAGAAAUAAACGCAAUAUUAAAAAUAUAUGAAAUUACAAUUCUGCUUAAAAGUUUGACUUUCUCUUUUUUUUUUCCUCUCAGAAGUAUAUAAGUGU
Molecule: long non-coding RNA, 1282 nt
Filed under: Citrus x clementina
Lineage: Eukaryota; Viridiplantae; Streptophyta; Magnoliopsida; Sapindales; Rutaceae
Description: Citrus clementina (C. clementina) long non-coding RNA (CCLE_LNC006545)
Source: RNAcentral